GUUUCACUAAAAAGCAAGGACUUCAACAGAUUUUUCAUUGUGUUGAGACAUUGUCAAUGUAAGUUUUUUUCCUUAUUCCAGUCAGUCCAUUUCAUUCGAUAAUAGAAUAGUACUGUGUUUUGCAACAGUAUAAUGCCACAGAGGGAGGACAUGCUAUCUGGAGUUCAGGCUUGAGCCCUGACACAUCAAUAUACACAAAGGUAUGAUUUGUCAUAGGUCAUGUUAUCUACAGUAGUGUAAUAACUACCAAGGCUUAGCAAUACUGCUUGUGUGACUGCAGAAAUCUUAGCAGGACACACCCAUUUGAUAUAGUCUUUGGUGGACUGUAUUUCAUUCUAGAAAAUCACAGCUGACAAAAGUAAUCCAAGCAGGUGAGGUUAAAAUGAGCUCAGAUGUCCCCAACAUUGUUAUGAUGUACCUUGACUUGGCAGAGGAAUGGCAUAAAUACCCCCAGAUUAACGGAUAUGUGAGAGUGUCUUUGUUGGCUAAAAAGGUGCAAAAUGGCUCUGCAGAGCUUGAGCAAUAGGUAGGUGAUUAGUAUCACAUUUGUAUCACAUUUAUAUAUAACAUGAAAAUGUGUUUCAUGUAAAUGUCAUGAGAUUCCAUUUUAUUUAACUGAUUAAUCUCAGAGUGCUAUCUAAGAAUGUCUCAGGAAAAGAGAGUUACAGUAUCAUAAGCUUUAAUUACAAACCUCAAUUAGGACGCUUCUGGGCCAGUGUCUGCUUCCUUUCUCUGCAUGAAAACAAAGGUUUUCGUUAUGUUUUCCACUUUUUGUAACAGUAUUCAAGUGGAACUGGAGCUUGGAACAGCUAACAAGAAUAAGAGCUCAUUGACAAAUAACAUAAACAUGGUGCAACUUUCUCAAUUAGUCAAAUCCUAAAAUCAGAGUUUGUAACAUUCUCUAGCCUGUUUUGGCUUUAUUCUUUUUUUUUUUUUUUUUUUUUUUUAAUCGUAAAAGCAAAGUCACUGCCAAAAUAUGCAUGUCAUUCAGAGGAAUGGAUUGUUGAUAAAAACAGUGAUAAAGCUUGGUCCUGCUACUGGCAAUGGCAGAAAUUCUGUUGACUUCAGUGGGGUCAGGGCUUGCCUCUCAUGACUACAGGCAACACAGGGAGAAAAGGCAGCUGAAAGCUAUUUUUGCAUUUUGCAGUCCUUGGGAUGCUUUAUAUCCCUUUUUAAUGCAAAGUUGCCUGAAAGAGGAUCAUGUUAAGUGCCAAGAACUGCCCCAGUGUCUGCUUGGAAACAGUUUCUGGUCUCUGAAUAAAUGAUUAGUUGCAAAUAGUGCAGUCGUAUCUAUAGUCUUUAUCACCCUUGUUUCCAUCAUGUGUAGGUUUCUCUGUUUCUUUUCUACAGCGAAGGAGCUAAACUGACAGCCUUAUAUAUGAUUCGUGCUAGAUAAAAAUAUAUUAGAAUUCACAAUGUGGUUAUUAUCAUUUGGGAUAUUAUGUGUCUGCAUAAGUCAUUGUAUAAAGGAUUAAAAGCCUAAAAAAUGUUAAUAAUAAAGCCCCCAGAUCUAAUAACUUUAGAGAUUAAAAUUAAUUGAAUUAGUCUUUGAUCUUGGUUGUUAUGUUUUAAAAGUUCAGUAGGCACUUGCCAUUCUCUUUUCAAAGAACCAGCCAUUGCUAAGCAUGGGAUUGGAAUGCAUCUGUACAGUCACUUCUUGACAAAAAAUAGAAAUCAAAACCAAAGAUGAACAGAAUUUUUCCAUCCUGUUUUGUGUCAAAGCAAUCAGAGCUGAAGUGAUGGUUGCUCAGAUUUUAUCAAUCUUUUAGCUUUUAAUUUGAAUUUGAGGAAUGUUUACUGAAAUAUCUUUGCUAGCUGAUGACGUGGCAGUAGUUAAAAAUGGUGAAGCUUUAGUAUAUGGCUGUCUGAACACUAUUAUUACAGGGGUUAGAGUAACACCUAAAUUAUUCAAUAUCCAUCUGAACCAAUUAAUAUUAGCUGAUGUACACUCAUUCAAAUUGCUCUGUUGUCAUAAGCUUCAGGCAGGUAGAGAGAUCAGAACCAUUUAUUCAAGAUUAUUAGUUUUAUGUCAAAUCUGUAAAGCUUAUUUUAUUUCACAUUAUUCCAUCAUCCUAUUUGUGUCUGAUGCAAAUGCCCUUGAUUUUCUUUUUCAGUUCCAGAGUUGUGUAAGUAAGGCGUUAUGCUACUAUAAAAAUCCUGGCAUGAUAGUCAAAGUCGGCUCUAUCUCCUGCUACUUUCCUUACUGUAUCAGAAGUGGUAAACAUGUAUCUUCUCAGCUGCCUGUUUUGCUACAAGUCAUGUUUUUACAGAUAACUUUGUCUUUAUAUUUGUGUUGCUUUUUAUUAUUCAGAAAAGCUGUAAAAACUCAGUCAUUGCUGAGCAGAUAUAGUGAAUCCCAAACAUAAAUAUUUCUUCCUGUCAGGUGGUAUAUUUUAUCUGAAGUGGUUUACAAUUAUGCGGAAAGUUAAAAAACAGAAAUGAAAGGAAAGGUAAAAGAAAGGCAGAAACAAAACAAAGCUACAGGAAAUGAAUAUUUAGGACAUAGUCUUGGAUAUUUGUGGCUGUCCAAGAUGUGCUACGCUACCUGACAGUAUCUUAGCAACUUUGAAAACCUAUUAAAGCAUCUUUAAUUAUAUCCCUUACUAUUCAUGUUUACCUGCAGUGCAUCUCCAAGCAUGUCUUUGCAUUUGUAUGUGCCUGUAUGUGACGGUGGAAUUUACUGAAUUCCUGCAUUAUGUUUGCUGUGAUAAUUAGUAAAGCACAGUGAGUAUUUCAGAAUGAAUAGUUAAUCCCCUUAAUUUAUGCUGUUAAGUAAUAUACAAACAAGAUUGAACAACUUUUUUUUUUUUUUUCCCCCACUUUAAAUUAUGGAUCAGUUGGAACUGUCUCUGUGGAACAUCAAUUUCUUAGUCUGUGGAGCUGUGAUCUUUACUUUUGUUUCUUCAGAUGAAUAGUAUGACAGCAGUUUAGUUCAUUGUUUUUAAUACCUAUCUAUUUAUCAGGUUAAAUAUUUUGCUAAAAAUAGGCAAAUUUGAGGUAUGCUUCAAUAAGUGGUUGAAACAAAGCUUUCUAGUAGCAAAGAACUAUGUCCUCUCAUCAAGAAAGAACUUAAUAUUUGCUGUAGUCAAAUCUAUACAGUAACUAAUUUAUUCUCUCUUCUUUUAUUUCCCAGUUUUCUCUGCUCCCUAAAUGUUAAGGUGCUCUCCGGCUUCAUAUAACUGUAGAACACAGCCUGCUCCCUGGAUGGGAAGUGCAGCUUCUGGGAAGAUAGGGGAGUGCCAUAGAGGUAUUCCUUUGGGUUGCAUACUGGAGUGUGAAUUCUUCCUGUGACUAUUAGCCACUGAAACAUAGUCUUUUGCUAUCUUCCUGGGAGAAGAAGAAGAAAAAAAUAUCCUGUAAAAUUGGAGGUCCUGACUCCCUUUGAUCAUAGCUGAUAGAGGCACCCUUUGCUCUUGAUCCUGUUGAAUCAAUACCAGUUAGACUGAAACCCAAAAAUCAAAAUGAUCCUCUUCUGUUUUUAAAAAAGCUGUGGAAAGGACAAGAGUUCUGUCUGGGGAAGGAUUGAGUUAUCAGCGUAUGUCUUCAUGCCAGAUCUCACACCAUGCUCCAUGUCUAAAUUAUCUGAGCAUCUUCCAGCAUUCAAUGCAGGACCUUCAAGUGUGGAGCUUUGUCAGCCCAGAGCUGUGGUGGUAACACCAGUUUGUAGCUGCUGGCAAGUGGUCAAAGAAGGGCUGGUUCCCCUGCCCAGGGAGCACAGCAGAACAGGACGGAUAAGCCGCUUGGUACCAGCUGCAGCUUCUUUUAAGGCUGGUGUAUAAAACCCCAGAUAUGUUGUUUUGGACUGAAGAAAUCUAAGGAUAAUUAAAUUCUAAACAAUGAAGAAAUUAUAAAUUGCAUAUACUAAAAUGGUCAGGAGUUGGGAAAAUCUGUAUUGUGUAAUGAAAUAGAGAUAGUUUAAAUAAAUCUAAACUCACACAAACACAUGAGGUGUCUGUGUGUUCAUAUAUAUAUAUAUAUAUAUAUAUAUAUAUAUAUAUAUAUAUAUGUAUACAUAACAGUCCAAGCUACACGGCUACUGUCAGUAUCAAGAAAUCCUCAAUUUUUUGGUGGUGGUUUGGUGGUUUGCAAACAGAUGUUCUCCACUGAAGGAAGCACAUGGUGCUGUCAAGUAUGUCUUUCUGACAACUCACAUUACCCAUGUCUUGCUUCGAUUUACCAGCAAGAUACUGGGCUAGCUGGUGGUACUUCAUAUGGUGUGAAAGAUAAAUAGAACUGACUGCUACCUCCAUAUGGUUGGGAUUUGACUUCAAGAAAUCUCUCAAGUGCAAAUAGAAUUUCUUUAGGACAGAGAAGCAGCAUAAACUUGUGUGAAAACAUAAACUUAUAAAAUUGAAUACUCUGUCCUCCAAAAUAUUUUCCGUGAAUAAAUGACUUAUUUUUUACACAGGUGGUAACGUUCGGAUGACUUUUGCCAAAACCUGAUUGUGUUUGUAGGGUUGUAUGACCUCUAACUGAAGUUGAUUCAUUAGUACCAUUAUCUGUUCAUAUCAAGGCCUAAUCUGUGACUGGAAAAGACGUAGGAGCUUGGCAGAGAGUACAUUCUCCUAUGUGAUUCUUACCGUGGUCAUGGAAAGAAGAUGCAAAGGAGUUUAAUAACUAGCAGGUCCGUUACAUCAGAAAACAGUUUCUUAAAAAUAUGUUCUAUAUUAUAAAUGUUUUUAUGAAUGGUACAAGACUGAUGUAUUUCCUAUAAUAUUUGCUGUUCCAUAGUAUUUUGUAUACUGCUGACAUUGCAUAAAAUACCACAUCCACGAAUACCCAGUUGCUGCAGAAGAACUGGAAUUAAAUAAGCACUAUAAGAGUGAAACAUGAAAAAAUAGCAUAUUGACAUUUCAGUGUGUACUUUAAUUGUACUGAAUCAUUUACUAAAUCAAAGACUGCUGAGUAAAUUCAUCACUUCACUAGAAGUUUGCUAUUAUAGGAAAAUGUCACUUAAAUGGAAAAAUUGAGAAGUUCACCCAUAAAGAUAGUUUUUGUAUCAGUCAACCAGGACUGAUAUAUUCACCAACAAAGAGAAUUUAAAAUCCUCUUGUUACAAUUUGUGAAUGUACUACUGUGUUUUGUUAAUGAUUCUAAAGCUAUAGAGUAUUGGGGAAAUAAAACUUUCAUUUUUGUUGCAAGAAGCCUUUUCGAAACAGGGUUCUUCAGCUGUCAUGAUGAUUUCUCUUCUUCAGACUUAAUUAUUUAUUUUGUAUUAUGAUGCAGCUUUGGAAAUGUUGAUGUCAGCUGUAGAACUGAAAAAUUUUGCAUGAGCCAUUUUCUCCACAUUUUUUAUAUGUUAAUUUUAUUCUCUGAACUUUUACUGAGUUAAAUAAAGCAAAUGUUAUUUCUUAUCUUUAUUCUUUUUUUCUUCUAGAAGGGCAUGAUUAUAGAUUAUUAAUGAAGCCAAAGACAAGCAGACCUCUCGAAGUUUUGCUUAGUAUUUGAUCUUCUAACAUAUAUAGCAACACUUUUCAAUCACUCGCUGAUUGUAAUUCUUCUGAAAGUUCCAAUGUAACCCAAAAAUCAAUAUUAACAGAUGUUGUUUGCUUAAGUCUGAACGUGUUCCAGAAAAAUGCUCGUCAAAUGUAUCCCAUCUAUGGUUUCAUAAAGUUUCAGAUUCACAGAAUCAAUAUCAGCAGAUGUUCACUACUUUUAUUUUAUUUUUUUUCCCAAGGCAUUGCAGAAGUGCUUCUUCCAGCAUAAUUUUGAAAGAAAAUUGAAACCACCGAGUGUAUGACAGCUUUCACUGUUGCCAAAGAAUAUGUUCUUGUCAACUCCUUGGAAAAUAUGCUGUCGUCUUCUAUUAUCAUUAGAGACCAAUAAUUAAACAGAAAGAGAUGUUUCUAAUUAGUGUUUGGUGAAUGAUUGUCUAAAUCAAUCCGUAGUGUAGUUAGUACAUGUUAAAUUCUAUAUUAGGGCUAGAUGAGCAUUUCUUUAUCUACUGAGAAAGCUAAUGCGGAAAGGAAGUAUUAGAGAGGUAGUUAGGGGUAAGGUAAGAAAAGACUCACUUCGUUAUGCAUUGGGUUUUUUGUUUUUUUUUUUUUUUUUAACAGUAGGUUCCAGAGGUAAACUUGGCUCACAUCAUACAUUUUACAGUUUACUGUUUGUUUUAAAGGCCUGACAUGAAAUCUAUAAUUUCUGCAUAGAAUAUUAUAAUGCCUUUGUUUUAGAGAGUGUGUCAGAAUAUUGCUGCCAGCAGAAAAUAAAAUAAAAAUAAUAACAACAAAAAAAAAAAAAUCGAAGGAAACAAACUCACAAUCCUUUUUAUUGGGCAGUUUGGAGGAAGGAGUUCUUAGCUGUUUUACCCUCUUUUAGUACAUUAAAAAUAUAGUGGUAGAAACUUUGAAGCUGGCCUGUGCAGUGAAUCUAGGGAGGUUUGGGAUUGGUGGGUGGGGUGUUUUUUUGGGUUAAAAUAAAGUAUGUGUACUUCAGUUAUAUGAAUGUGCAUGUGCCUUUCUGUGCAUGUGUGUAAUAAUUUCUGAAAAUUUUACACUGCAAUUAGACAGUUUCCCUGAAACGACAACAUGCAUCUACUGCAAGUUCAGGAAAAGUGAUCAGCACUGAUUAUAAAAUAUAUUCAUUAUUACUGAAUAUUUUUGUUGCCUAUCAUAAUCUUUAUGUGUAUAUUAAAUAUGCCUCAUUCACAGUACUAUAUUAAAAUGACAAUGGCUUUUCAUGAUAAGUAGGAGUAUAAUAAUACUUUGAUAAAUUACAGCAAGAUAAAGCCUGCAGACAGAUCUGCUUUAAUAUGAUUGUCUCUUGUCAGUAAGUUUUCUAUAAAUUGCACCAUUUCAGUAGGAAUAGCAGUUGGUUGGUGGAAUUAUACAUGCAACAUCUCCAAGCUGAUCACAGGUUCUUGUAUAUCAUGGUUACAAAAAACGUGGAGGGUUUUUUUUUCUGUGAAUUUAAACCAUUGGUAUGUUUAUUCUGUACAUCUGGGAUUAUUCUGUGUGAACUCUGAGCUAAAAGAUAACUGUGCAACUGUGUUAGCACAGCAGCGAGUCUACACAAAUAAAGCUGCCUCUCAGCAGGGUUUAUUAAUGUAGGCAUCACAUCAUGCUACUGCAGUUAUAUAGCUUUUUUUUGUUUUUAGGCUCAGAGGGUAGGCAGAGUGCUCUUACAUCUGCCUGCAAUACAUACCAUAAACAUAUGCCAGGAGACUUGGCCCUGAGUUGUAUUUAUUUUAACAAAAUUGUGGCAGUUAUGAUGCCUGUUUAUUAUAUUCAGAUUUGGCAUUCAUCAUGAAGGAGCCAAUGUUCAUAAAUUAAAUGUGGUUUUUGUUGCAUGGAGUAUAAGAACAAACUGUACAGUUUUGCAGUAGUAACUUUUUCUUUGGUCCCUCUUAUGUAUUUACAUCUGUGGCAGCUCCAGAGUGAUUGCAGGUUCUAGGAUAUGAUGUGUUUUAAUUUCAUUGUGUCCUGUAGGAUAGAAUAAAAAGAGAAAAUAUAAAAGCCUUUCACAUUUCCUCAGUAGACCUCAACUUGAAUAUUGGAUUAUUGAUUAUAAAGUUUUGGUAUUUCUAGGACACUGAUCAGUGAUUUAUUAAUUUAUUUUUCCUUAUAGUUCAUUUCCAUAAGGAACAGUAUAAUUUUUAGAAUAUACAUACUUGCAAAUACUAAGAGUGGAAGUGCAGGAUGUGAAGAAGCAUAAGAGUAUUGCUACUCUUAGGACGUAUUUGGUUUUUCUGUUUCAAAAAAAAAUCAAAAGAAAAUUUACUCUCAUUUCAUUUUUUAAACAUGAAAUUUAGAAGUGAAGAAUUUUCUGUGAAAAAAAAAAAAAAAAAAAUCUGCAAAGAAAACAUACCUGAUGUGAGUUGUAACCACAAAUCAGUGCCCUGCAUCUGAUGGCUCAACAUCUCCAUACUAUGGGGUUCAUGACUAUGCUUAGUCCCCUCCCAGCAUAGCCUUAGUAAAACCAUACGGGCAAUUCCUUAUGGUGAAAUAGGCUUUUCUGAAACAAAAGGGAGCCACAAAACCUUGUGCUGUUGUUCUUAAUUUAAUUUCUACUGGUUUGGAGAAUAGCAGUGUAUAACUCCAGAACUUCUCUCCUUUCAGGUCGUAGGAGGAAAGCCCUCUCCAUUCGUGUAAGGAAAGCUCCAUACCCUUCUCCCACCAUAACUGUCUAUCGUGGUAGUAAAAGAAAUGAAUUUGGAAUCAGUAAUACUUGAGUGAACUUUUGCAGGUGCAUCUGUGGCCAAGUGGAGGAAUUUUCAUUACAUACUUACUCAAAUAUUAAAAUAGGAAUUUUUUUUUUUAAACAUAAAGUAAAUGAUUUCACAAGAUAGCACCUUUGAGCAGUCAGUCCCUAUUAAACAUUUAGGAAACAAGAGAUGUUUCAUAUCUAUUAUUAAAAUAAGUGUCAUCACACAAGGGGAGUUUUAACAGGCUGGUAAUCUGUGACAGAGACAAUGCCAUCCUGUUUUCAGCCAUGAACCUGAAAAAUAAUCAUUAGUUUCAGCUGAUGAGUGACUGCACCACACGUGAUUUUAAGAAAUAGGGUAAAAGGUUAUUGAAAAGAGUAUAUAAAGUAUAUACCACACUGUUAAAAAGUAGUAAUGUUAGGAUUAGCUAUGCAUGUAGAGAAUUUUUGAACCGAAUUUUAGUUUUCUAAGUUUAGCAAAAUUUAUUUGUUCAGAUUUUACCGACUAACUAACAUAAAUUGAUUAUUUGUUUCCACAUUCAAGCACUUAUUACAGUUCUUCUCACAGUCACCUCUGGAAUCUCUGUCUUUGCAGGGUUUUUCAACCAGUCUUAAAUUUUGCAGUGCUGGCCCAUUUCUGGGAUAAAUAGGUAUAAUUCAUAUUGCCAGCUGCUGGGGACUACUGUACUUGCCGAUAAAUGAGUAUCAGGAAUAGCUGAAUGAAGAGAUGUUUGAAUUGAAAAGAGAAAGUUUAAAAUUAGCUAACAAGAUGAAUGCUAUCAGAUCAAAACUAAUUUCUACCCAGAUGCAUUGAGGACACAGCUGCUGGAGUGUGUGACACGAGAGUGAAAGUCAAGGAAUGUUUACUUGAUAGCAUGAAAUGUAGAAGGAAUUUACAAAUUACAUUAACUGAAAUAAUGUCGCAUGAAUGCUUUUUUUAGAGAUUGUGAGAUGAUCGGGAAGAAAUGGAAUAAAUAUUUCAUAAAUAAACCCCAUAAAUUUUCAGCCACAGAAGAGAGAUCAUAGAGAGUUUUGUGACUGACAGGCUUGGCCUCCAUUUGGUGGUGAGCUACAAAGUCACAGAAUCUCAUAGAAGAGUUUUACUUUUCAUGUGGAUCCAACAAUACAUAGAAAUUAAUUAACAUUGAAACUGAGUAUGAAUUAUGAGUUUGAUCUUUCUAGGGAGCCUGCCCUUGAGAUGGAAGAGAUUGAGAGAAAAAUACAUUUAGAAUUAAGCAGUAUAAAAUGGAUCAUGCAAAAAGUAUGGUGACUUCUUGGAUGAAAUUAUUACUUCUAGAAAUGGAAUAAUGCAGAAAUGAAGUACCCCCUGGUAGUGUAGGAAUCUAGGGCUGAGUUGACUGUAGAACUUGUAUAACCUCUGCAGAACUCUCUAUUAUGUCUAAUUCCUAUUGACUGUCAUUUGGAAGAUCAUGAAAAUGAUUUGUUUCAAAUAAUAGACCUUUUGAUGGUGGUAUGUCAGGAAGUCCUGUAGAAUUCCUACUAAGCAGAGUUUAAUCCUGACAGCAGGAAAAAUGAUGUAGGCCAAAAGAUUAUAUAGAUACAGCAUAAAUAUGGUACAGCCUUGCUGGAUCCCACAAGAGAUGGUUCCUGCAUCAUGAAGCAGGAUAUCCUUGUCAAGAUGGGCUAAUGAGCCUCACAUUUAAAGAGUUUAGGAAGAAAAUAAUGUUCUUUUGGGUUUUGUAUGUGAGAAUAGGCAUAUUUCUAAAGGGCUGGAGAUAAUAAUGAAUUUAGUAAGGUCUGAGGAAUCUGGGCUGCUGCUUUUAUUAUUUAUCAACUAACUAUAUGACAUAUUUGAGAAAAGGGUAUAUAUUUGACAAGUUAUGAAACAAGUGAAAAUAAGUUGCUAUCUCUUUUUAUUAUUAUUUCAUUACUGUUGAAAAGCUCAAAUCACAAGCCAGCUACUGGCCAAAACAAAAAGUAAUUUUUUUCAAAGACCUUAUCUGAUAAUCA
Molecule: long non-coding RNA, 10113 nt
Organism: Columba livia (rock pigeon)
Lineage: Eukaryota; Metazoa; Chordata; Aves; Columbiformes; Columbidae
Exons: 5
Source: RefSeq, a predicted model, not a curated record